This is a non-coding RNA of Oryza barthii, 193 nucleotides long. NCBI's taxonomy places the organism in Eukaryota, Viridiplantae, Streptophyta, Magnoliopsida, Poales, Poaceae. The record is from Rfam.
UUUAAAUGCAAAUAUGAGUUUCCGUGUUCAACUUGAUCGUCCGUCUUAUUUGAAAAAUAUUAUAAUCAGUAUUUUUUAUGAGAUAAUAAAACAUCAAUAGUAUUUUACUCGUAACUUAUGAUUUAUUUUUUUAAAAAAAAUAAAUAAGACAAUCAAUUAAAAUUAGACGCAGAAAACAAUAGCUAUAUUUAAG